UCUUCUUUUCGUUUCAAGAUAUAUUUUAUCUCAAACAAUGUGUCUUCAUCUUUAUGUUCAAAGGAAAUAUUUUUGAUAGCCUCCACUCUGUUGUCACACGUAACGGAGGAAACAUGUGGACGACAAGCGUUAUAGCUACAGAUCUACAAAGAUGAACAGGCUCCUACAAUAUCUUGAAGUGAAUCUUCUGGUGGCUGACUUCUGUGCGCGUCGCUGAAAAGCGUGUCAAGGAGAAGGCCUUCUUUGAAAUUUUUCGGUUGCAAUUGUGUAACAUGGGCCUUGAGUGUUAAUCACUUCUAUAAUCACUAAAUUUGGCAUAUCUUAUAGGUAAGUGGCUAAUAAUCCCUAUAAUUAAAGGGAUGACUGCAUAUUCCCUUAUGUAGACCAGUAAACCCUAUAUAUUCUCACCCAAACUAUUAAGCUCAUUAUAAACCCCCAAUCUUCUUAAUUAUGCCCAACUAAACCUCUCUAAUUGAAAUUAACAAGUCAAUGUUUACACUGUAAACGCGAUUGUACAAAAGUGAUGACCCGGCUUAAUUGCAUUUUGCAACCCGAGCCGAGCUGCCCGACUCAAAUUCUUAAACAAAUCGACAAAGGGAGAGAAGUGAGACGACAGAGAGAUAGAGAAACGAGAGAUUGAGGGUUACGAAGAACAGAGUAAGUGAGACACAUAAACAAAGAGAGAGAAUAAACGAAAACAGAGUGAGAGAGAGAGACCAAGUGAUAGAGACCAAUUCAAUUGAGACAAAGAGAUGAGGGCAAUGAAUUUGAAACUGCUGAGACACAACUUGAAAUAGAGAGGAAAGACGAUGAAGCAGAUAACGAAAGUGAGUUUGAGUGUGAGGAGAAGACCAAAGUCUGGAAAAUGAGACAAUAUGGAUGAAGUUGAGGAUACUUUGGGUAUAUAUUUGUUUCAGAUUGAAGAAUCAGUAGUUGUGUAAGUCAAGUUUGUGGCGUUUUUGUUUCAGUCGACUUGUGCUUUUGUAUUUGUUUUCGACUUGUGGUUGAGGGUUGAGUAUUAGUUUUGGACUUAUGUAAGACUCAUUUGUAUUUGCGAUAUGUGAUUUGGUUUAGAAUUAUGUAAGACUCAUGAGUGUUAGUUUUGUC
This is a long non-coding RNA of Raphanus sativus (radish), 1107 nucleotides long. RefSeq lists it as uncharacterized. The transcript is spliced from 2 exons. The record is from RefSeq and is a predicted model, not a curated record. Lineage: Eukaryota; Viridiplantae; Streptophyta; Magnoliopsida; Brassicales; Brassicaceae.